ACAGUGAGAUCGCUACCCCCUGGUGGAGGGUCUCAUGGAAGGCUACAAUGGCACCAUCUUUGCCUGUGGCAGUGGGGAAUCCUUCACCAUGCAGGGAGCUGCAGAUUCUGCCUCACAGAAAGGGAUCAUCCCCAGGGUGUUUGAACACAUCUUUGAGAGUGUGCAGGGCUUCUCCCUGCUGGGGCUGCUCACCUGGAGCAAAUCCAGCUCCCUGCCUCAAUCCCCAGGUGGAUCUGGAAGCAGAGAAGCAGCUGAUCAGAGCAGUGGGAGAUGAAGCUUUUGAAGCCCAAACCCUCCGGUUGAGAAGGCUCGGUGGGAGGAGCACGUGUGGGAUGGGAGGGGAUGCGACUCCCUCUGCCGACCUUCGGAUCCGCUGCAGCUGCUGCCGGCUCCGAGCUCCCUUCCUGGGGUAAGAAACAGAACAUAAAAGUAAUGCUCUUCAAUUUUACAUUGAAAAUCUUCCUUUUCAAAACACUUGGAAAUCGGUUUUCCUCUGAUAUUUUGUAAUAGAAUCAGAGGGUCUGCAAAAAAAUUGAUAUUUGUGUGUACAAUCCUAGACCUGCACACGAAGGACUUGCUUUAUUUGGGUAUUUAGGUUAUCAAAGAAAUAUUGCAAUUUUUUAACCAAAGUUAGGAAAUUCCAGGAGUUCUAAGACCACAUUAGUAAGAUUAGCUUCAGUUUCAUUCAAAAAUCAUCCCUGUGGAGAAACAUGAGAAGACUUUCUUUAAAACAGACAUGGAAUAAUCUCUCCCUUGGGCAGGGACACCUUCUACUAAUUCCAGGCUGCUCCAAGCCUUGUCCAGCCUGGCUUUGGACACUCCCAGGGAUUCAAGGGCAGCCACAGCUGCUCUGGAUUUAUUGAAUUUUGUUCUGGAUUAAUUUAAUUUAUGUUACUUAAUCCUAAUUUGUACCUACAUUAGAAAACUUUCCAAAUAUUGAAGCUGGCUUGUAGCUUAGGGGGUAUCAUCCAAGCUGAGUACUAUUAAAAUUAUGGUGGCAGGAGAGAAUCCAGCUCUGGUCAAGGGUGGGUGAUUUAGUGUGGUUCUAAAAAAUCAUAGUUUGUGUGUUGGUUUGUUGUUU
This 1081-nucleotide long non-coding RNA is filed under the name Zonotrichia albicollis (white-throated sparrow). RNAcentral describes it as "lncRNA (ENSZALG00000017476.1)". The record is from RNAcentral. Lineage: Eukaryota; Metazoa; Chordata; Aves; Passeriformes; Passerellidae.